UCAAGAAGGCAGUGCAUUAAAGAUUAACGAUUUACAAACCUAUAAUUAACGACGCUUUUGUUCACAAAAUGCAUUGUUUAAUCUACAAUACAACAACAAUUACAAAAUUCAUUGCCUACGAUGAUUGAUAAACUGUAAUCGAACGAACGAACGGACGUCUCUGUAUGAUGAAAGCUCUUCCAAAACAUGACAACUCCCGUCUUUCUAGGUGUGUAGGACUGCAUUGCGGUUUGAGAAAUUUGGCUGCUGUUGCUAGCAGGUCAGGCGACCACUCGGAGGCUCCGAGGAAAUACUUUUUGUGACAGUGUUAUUGACAAGGCGUCAAAUGUUGUCGUCACAGCUGCUGCUGUUUUUGUUGUUUAACAUAGCGACCUGUUCUGCUCUGUAAAUACAGAGCAGAACACUCUUAAAACAAGGAAACAUCUCAACCGGACUUUACACCGAAAACUAAACCCUACCCACUACUCUCUCUCUCUCUCUCUCUCUUUCAAUAUAUUUAAUGUUACAAAGUGUUCACAACCAAUAACGCCUUCCCCCACCUCGUCCUCGCUUCUGCUGUCAUUAGUGCUGAUGAUGUUCUGACCCUCGGAGCCCAAAGCUUGUCCCUCUCCCAGUCACCACUUUUGAUAACGAGCCAACGAAGAAACCACGACAUGAUCGUUCAGUCUACUUGCUAGAAACAGCAGCUUAAUCUACCUCAAAUCAAACACUGCUGUCUUUUUAAAAGAAGGAGAAAAGCAACAUCAUCGAAAACAAAACAUUGGAUAAUGUACCCUGGAGUACGGUUUUCCUGGAAACGAAAAUAAAUAGUAACAACAAAAAAAGAAAAAAAAAGUAAUAAUAAUCCUGUAUAGUAAUGGCUUGGAUGAAUAUUGUAGAUCGUAGGUCUGCUCGAUCAGGGCCCGGGCCUGUUAGGGUGUUAAACCAACAAUAACACUGCCACCAGUACCACGAACGUCAUAAUCAGGAACAGCAGCAGCAGCAGCUGCCGUCUCCGCCGCCGCCGCCGCCGUUGCACUGCCAGCACCGUUCUGGGCGGGCUUCCAACCGACUGGAAUGGAGUUACAGAGUAAAACGGUAAAAGAAGACCAAGACACUACGGAUGGCUGGCGGCAUGCCGAAGCGGAGGAUGCCUUGUUAAAAGAAUCAUAUCAAUCCAUGCACGAUGUACCAGAGUCAGAAACAACGGAAGAAGUUGAGCCCACAAACCAGCGUGUUGUAUAUAUUAAUACUUCCCAACCGGUGAAAUACUGCUCCAAUAAAAUAAGCACUGCCAAAUACAAUUUUGCCUCAUUUCUUCCAAAGUUUUUGUUUGAGCAGUUUGGGAGAUAUGCUAACCAGUUUUUUCUCUUUAUUGCAUUACUUCAACAAAUUCCAAAUGUAUCGCCAACAGGGCGUUAUACAACGGCAGUGCCUCUCCUGUUCAUCCUUACAGUGUCUGCCAUCAAAGAAGUCAUUGAAGAUUGGAAGCGACAUAGAGCUGAUGAAGGAGUUAACAAUAGAGAAGUAUUGGUGUUAAAAAAUGGUGACUGGUUUCCAGUUAAGUGGAUUGACGUAACAGUGGGAGAUCUGGUCAAGAUCACGAGUAGCAAGUUCUUUCCUGCUGAUUUGCUGCUGUUAUCUUCCAGUGAGCCCCAAGGUAUGUGUUACAUAGAAACCUCCAACCUAGAUGGGGAAACCAACUUGAAAAUACGUCAAGGUUUGCCUCAAACAUCUGGGUUACUGACACAUCAAGACCUCAUGGAACUCAGUGGGACCGUUGAAUGUGAAACACCAAACCGUUUCCUUUAUGAUUUUGCUGGCAAUAUCCGGCCAUCUGGCAGACAAGCUAUUCCUUUGGGGCCAGACCAGUUGUUAUUACGAGGUGCUAUGCUGAGAAACACAAAAUGGAUCUUUGGUAUUGUUAUUUACACUGGUCAUGAAAGUAAGCUGAUGCUUAACACUACCUCUGCCCCUUUGAAGCGAUCUAAUGUGGAAAAAAUAACAAAUAAAGCUAUCCUGAACCUGUUUGUGCUAUUAAUAUGCCUGUCGCUGUUGAGUGCCAUUGCUAGUUUUGUAUGGACUCACAAUCAUGUGAACAGGGAUUGGUAUCUUGGAUAUGCAGAAAUGACCCCUAGCAAUUUUGGAUAUAACCUGUUAACAUUUAUCAUUUUAUACAACAACUUGAUCCCUAUCAGUCUCCAAGUAACCCUUGAAGUGGUCAAGUUCAUCCAAGCAAUAUUCAUCAACUGGGAUAUUGAUCUGUACCAUGAAGCUACCGACACACCAGCUAUGGCCCGAACCUCAAAUCUUAAUGAAGAAUUGGGUCAGGUCAAAUAUAUAUUCACUGAUAAAACUGGAACCUUAACAAGAAAUAUCAUGGAAUUUAAAAAAUGUUCCAUUGCAGGAAUAGUUUAUGGUUCCAAUGUUGAAGAUGAAGAGUUCAAUGAUCCCUUGCUGUUGGAAAAUUUUAACAAACAUGAAACCUCUGGGAAAAUUCGGGAGUUCCUCACCUUAAUGGCAGUGUGCCAUACUGUGGUACCAGAGACAAACGGCAAUGACAGUAAUAUUGUAUACCAAGCAGCAUCUCCUGAUGAAGGUGCUUUAGUCAGGGGUGCCAAGAAGUUGGGCUUUAUUUUUACGACGAGGACUCCUGAAACAGUCACAAUUGAAGUGUUUGGCAAGAAAGAAGUAUAUGAAGUACUAAAUGUACUGGAAUUUACAAGUCUCAGGAAACGAAUGUCAGUUGUUAUUAGAUGCCCUGAUGGAAAAAUCAAACUCUUCUGUAAAGGAGCUGAUACUGUGAUCUAUGAAAGAUUAGCUGAUAACCAGCAAUAUAAAGAAAUCACUUUAACUCACCUGGAAGAGUUUGCAACAACAGGUCUUCGAACGCUAUGUAUUGCCACCGCAGAAGUUUCUCCUGAGUUCUACAAUGAUUGGAAACACACUUACUAUAAAGCCAGCACCACGAUACAGAACCGGGAGAAGAGACUGGGAGAGGCAGCUGAAUUAAUUGAACAGAACCUUAACUUGAUAGGGUCGACAGCUAUUGAGGACAGGUUGCAAGAGGGAGUACCAGAGAGCAUUGCCAAUCUAAUGAGAGCAGAUAUAAAAAUUUGGGUCCUCACUGGAGACAAACAAGAAACAGCAGUUAAUAUUGGCUAUUCCUGUAAGCUUCUUACUCAGGGCACCCCUCUACUAAUGGUCAAUGAACACAGCCUUGAUCAGAAAAUUGGUAGCGAACACCGCAAUGGAAGUGCUGCUGGUGGUGAAAAUGUAUUUGUUAAAGCCACCAGAGAGACACUCCGUCGACAUGUCCAAGAUUUUGGUGAGCAUUUACGGAAAGACAAUGAUGUUGCUCUUAUUAUUGAUGGUCAGACAUUGAAAUACGCCCUCCUCUGUGACUGUCGACAAGAUUUCCUUGACAUUGCCGUUUCAUGUAGAUCAGUCAUUUGUUGCCGUGUAUCACCAAUCCAAAAAUCAGAAUUAGUAGAACUUGUCAAGCAUUCUGUGAAAGCUAUAACUUUGGCCAUUGGAGAUGGUGCCAAUGAUGUUGGUAUGAUCCAGUCAGCACAUGUUGGUGUAGGUAUCAGCGGUAACGAAGGCUUGCAGGCAGCAUGUGCUUCAGACUAUGCUAUAGCCCAGUUCCGUUACCUAAACAAGUUGUUACUCGUCCAUGGAGCCUGGAGUUACUCAAGACUGUGUAAACUUAUUUUGUAUUCUUUCUAUAAGAACAUUUGUCUGUAUGUCAUAGAGUUCUGGUUUGCCAUGGUAAAUGGCUUUUCCGGACAGGUUGUGUUCGAGCGCUGGAGUAUUGGUUUGUAUAAUGUGAUAUUUACUGCAUCUCCACCCCUUGUCUUAGGUUUGUUUGACCGAACGUGCAAUGAAGAAAGCAUGCUUCGGUUUCCAGCAUUGUAUAAAACUUCGCAGAGUGGAGAACUUUUUAACAUCAAGGUAUUCUGGAUGUGGCUCAUCAACUCUAUUUAUCAUUCUAUUUUGCUGUUUUGGUUAACAGUUCUUGCUCUUAAACAUGAUAUUCUUUAUUCAAAUGGAGAAGUUGGUAACUAUCUUCUCCUUGGAAACUUUGUAUAUACGUAUGUUGUUGUUACAGUAUGUCUUAAAGCAGGUUUGGAAACAAGUGCGUGGACUUGGUUGACACACCUUGCAAUAUGGGGCAGCAUUGUCAGUUGGUUCAUGUUUCUAAUUAUUUAUAGCCAUGUGUGGCCUGUCAUCAAUCUUGCACCAGAGAUGGUGGGCAUGGAUAGCCAUGUAUUUGGGUGUUUAAUAUUCUGGGCAGGCUUAUUAUUAAUUCCGACCGCAGCUCUUUUGCGGGAUGUCAUGUGGAAAGUUAUCCGACGUACUUUACUAAAAACACUCCGCGAAGAAGUCCAAGAAAAAGAACUAGCCAAUGAAGAUCCUUCUGGAGUGGUAUUAAAAUCGACGAAGAGAAGAGAAGCCAAAGGGAGAAAAAAGGUUCAGAUGAGAUUCCACUGAGUUCCAUCCUACCAACUACAGACGGAUUACUGAGACGGCUCGGUUGCUGAAAAAUGUCUUUUCGCGUUCACAUACUCGGAUUCCGACAGCAUCUGAUCAGCCACAUGGGUAUGCAUUUUCUCAAGAAGAACAUGGAGUUAUUCCACAG
Molecule: unclassified non-coding RNA, 4621 nt
Filed under: Octopus sinensis (East Asian common octopus)
Lineage: Eukaryota; Metazoa; Mollusca; Cephalopoda; Octopoda; Octopodidae
Description: probable phospholipid-transporting ATPase IA, transcript variant X9
Source: RNAcentral